UUAGCCGCUGUCACACGCAC
RNAcentral lists this microRNA (20 nucleotides) under Gallus gallus (chicken). RNAcentral describes it as "gga-miR-210b-5p". Its record names the gene gga-miR-210b-5p. Lineage: Eukaryota; Metazoa; Chordata; Aves; Galliformes; Phasianidae. The record is from miRBase by way of RNAcentral.